RNAcentral lists this ribosomal RNA (450 nucleotides) under uncultured bacterium. RNAcentral's name for it is "partial 16S ribosomal RNA". It matches the Rfam family "Bacterial small subunit ribosomal RNA", at positions 354 to 796 of the family's 1533-position model. The record is from RNAcentral.
GUGGGGAAUCUUCCGCAAUGGACGACAGUCUGACGGAGCGACGCCGCGUGAGUGAAGAAGGCCUUCGGGUCGUAAAGCUCUGUCAUCAGGGACGAACGGCCGGUGGAGUGGAAAGCCACCGGAUUGACGGUACCUGAGAAGGAAGCCACGGCUAACUACGUGCCAGCAGCCGCGGUAAUACGUAGGUGGCAAGCGUUGUCCGGAAUUAUUGGGCGUAAAGCGCGCGCAGGUGGGAUCUUAAGUCCAUUUUGAAAGUUCGGAGCUCAACUCCGUGAUGGGAUGGAAACUGGGAUUCUUGAGUACCGGAGAGGAAAGCGGAAUUCCCCGUGUAGCGGUGAAAUGCGUAGAUAUGGGGAGGAACACCAGUGGCGAAGGCGGCUUUCUGGACGGUGUCUGACACUGAGGCGCGAAAGCUAGGGGAGCGAACGGGAUUAGAAACCCCGGUAGUCC